Molecule: ribosomal RNA, 836 nt
Filed under: Ovatospora medusarum
Lineage: Eukaryota; Fungi; Ascomycota; Sordariomycetes; Sordariales; Chaetomiaceae
Description: LSU rRNA
Rfam family: Eukaryotic large subunit ribosomal RNA
Source: RNAcentral
ACAGGGAUUGCCCUAGUAACGGCGAGUGAAGCGGCAACAGCUCAAAUUUGAAAUCUGGCUUCGGCCCGAGUUGUAAUUUGUAGAGGAUGCUUUGGGCGCGGCCCCGUCUGAGUGCCCUGGAACGGGACGCCACAGAGGGUGAGAGCCCCGUAUAGACGGAAGCCAAGCCUGUGUAAAGCUCCUUCGACGAGUCGAGUAGUUUGGGAAUGCUGCUCAAAAUGGGAGGUAAAUUUCUUCUAAAGCUAAAUACCGGCCAGAGACCGAUAGCGCACAAGUAGAGUGAUCGAAAGAUGAAAAGCACUUUGAAAAGAGGGUUAAAUAGCACGUGAAAUUGUUGAAAGGGAAGCGCUUGUGACCAGACUUGCGCCGGGCUGAUCAUCCGGAGUUCUCUCCGGUGCACUCUGCCCGGCUCAGGCCAGCAUCGGUUCUCGCGGGGGGAUAAAGGCCUCGGGAACGUAGCUCCUCCGGGAGUGUUAUAGCCCGGGGCGUAAUGCCCUCGCGGGGACCGAGGUUCGCGCAUCUGCAAGGAUGCUGGCGUAAUGGUCACCAGCGACCCGUCUUGAAACACGGACCAAGGAGUCAAGGUUUUGCGCGAGUGUUUGGGUGUAAAACCCGCACGCGUAAUGAAAGUGAACGUAGGUGAGAGCUUCGGCGCAUCAUCGACCGAUCCUGAUGUAUUCGGAUGGAUUUGAGUAGGAGCGUUAAGCCUUGGACCCGAAAGAUGGUGAACUAUGCUUGGAUAGGGUGAAGCCAGAGGAAACUCUGGUGGAGGCUCGCAGCGGUUCUGACGUGCAAAUCGAUCGUCAAAUCUGAGCAUGGGGCGAAAGACUAAUCGA